UCGAGAAUCUUCCGCAAUGGGCGAAAGCCUGACGGAGCAAUGCCGCGUGCAGGAUGAAGGCCUUCGGGUCGUAAACUGCUGUCACCGGGGAUGAAUAAUGACAGUACCCGGGGAGGAAGUCACGGCUAACUACGUGCCAGCAGCCGCGGUAAUACGUAGGUGACGAGCGUUGUUCGGAAUUAUUGGGCGUAAAGGGUUCGUAGGAGGUUUAUUAAGAUUGGUGUGAAAUCCCAAGGCUCAACCUUGGAACUGCAUUGAUUACUGAUGAACUAGAGUGUCGUAGAGGAAAGCGGAAUUCCAGGUGUAGCGGUGGAAUGCGUAGAUAUCUGGAAGAACACCGACAGCGAAGGCAGCUUUCUGGGCGAUAACUGACUCUGAGGAACGAAAGCAUGGGGAGCAAACA
This 403-nucleotide ribosomal RNA is filed under the name uncultured prokaryote. RNAcentral describes it as "bacterial SSU rRNA". It matches the Rfam family "Bacterial small subunit ribosomal RNA", at positions 355 to 774 of the family's 1533-position model. The record is from RNAcentral.